UACGUAGGGUGCAAGCGUUAAUCGAAAUUACUGGGCGUAAAGCGUGCGCAGGCGGUUAUGUAAGACAGAUGUGAAAUCCCCGGGCUUAACCUGGGAACUGCAUUUGUGACUGCACGGCUAGAGUGCGGCAGAGGGGGAUGGAAUUCCGCGUGUAGCAGUGAAAUGCGUAGAUAUGCGGAGGAACACCGAUGGCGAAGGCAAUCCCCUGGGCCUGCACUGACGCUCAUGCACGAAAGCGUGGGGAGCAAACAGG
Molecule: ribosomal RNA, 253 nt
Filed under: uncultured bacterium
Lineage: Bacteria
Description: partial 16S ribosomal RNA
Rfam family: Bacterial small subunit ribosomal RNA
Source: RNAcentral